Molecule: transfer RNA, 77 nt
Filed under: Desulfobulbaceae bacterium
Lineage: Bacteria; Pseudomonadati; Thermodesulfobacteriota; Desulfobulbia; Desulfobulbales; Desulfobulbaceae
Also listed under: 1 other name
Description: tRNA-Ile
Rfam family: tRNA
About the family: Transfer RNA (tRNA) molecules are approximately 80 nucleotides in length. Their secondary structure includes four short double-helical elements and three loops (D, anti-codon, and T loops). Further hydrogen bonds mediate the characteristic L-shaped molecular structure. tRNAs have two regions of fundamental functional importance: the anti-codon, which is responsible for specific mRNA codon recognition, and the 3' end, to which the tRNAs corresponding amino acid is attached (by aminoacyl-tRNA synthetases). tRNAs cope with the degeneracy of the genetic code in two manners: having more than one tRNA (with a specific anti-codon) for a particular amino acid; and 'wobble' base-pairing, i.e. permitting non-standard base-pairing at the 3rd anti-codon position.
Source: RNAcentral
GGGCCUGUAGCUCAGCUGGUUAGAGCGCACGCCUGAUAAGCGUGAGGUCGGUGGUUCAAGUCCACCCAGGCCCACCA